CCUACGGGCGGCAGUGGGGAAUAUUGCGCAAUGGGCGAAAGCCUGACGCAGCGACGCCGCGUGAGGGAUGAAGGUCUUCGGCUCGUAAACCUCUGUCAGCAGGGAAGAACGGUCACUUUGAUAAUCAGCAGUGAAUUGACGGUACCUGCAACGGAAGCACCGGCUAACUCCGUGCCAGCAGCCGCGGUAAUACGGAGGGUGCGAGCGUUAAUCGGAAUUACUGGGCGUAAAGCGCUCGUAGGCGGUAUGUCAAGUCAAGGGUGAAAUCCCCGCGCUCAACGUGGGAACUGCCUUUGAAACUGGCAAGCUGGAGUGUGUGAGAGGAUAGUGGAAUUCCAGGUGUAGGAGUGAAAUCCGUAGAGAUCUGGAGGAAGAUCAGUGGCGAAGGCGACUAUCUGGCACAUAACUGACGCUGAGGAGCGAAAGCGUGGGUAGCAAACAGGAUUAGAUACCCGAGUAGUC
RNAcentral lists this ribosomal RNA (462 nucleotides) under uncultured bacterium. RNAcentral's name for it is "partial 16S ribosomal RNA". It matches the Rfam family "Bacterial small subunit ribosomal RNA", at positions 338 to 795 of the family's 1533-position model. The record is from RNAcentral.